UGUGAUGCAAAUUUAACAAUUUGGUUAUUCUCUAGUAUAGGGUAACAAACGCUAAAAAAGGUCCGGAAAAGUCGGGAGGGGUACCAAACGACGCGUUUUGGUCACCCUAUUAACAAU
Molecule: long non-coding RNA, 117 nt
Organism: Rhagoletis zephyria (snowberry fruit fly)
Lineage: Eukaryota; Metazoa; Arthropoda; Insecta; Diptera; Tephritidae
Source: RefSeq, a predicted model, not a curated record